This 468-nucleotide ribosomal RNA is filed under the name uncultured bacterium. RNAcentral describes it as "partial 16S ribosomal RNA". It matches the Rfam family "Bacterial small subunit ribosomal RNA", at positions 28 to 507 of the family's 1533-position model. The record is from RNAcentral.
GACGAACGCUGGCGGCGUGCUUAACACAUGCAAGUCGAACGGAAAGGGCCUGCUUUUGUGGGGUGCUCGAGUGGCGAAAGGGUGAGAAACAAGGGGGUAAACUGGCCUUGACUUUGGGAUAACGUCAGGAAACUGGGGGUAAUAACGGAUAGGAGCUCCUGCUGUUAGGUGGGGGUUGGAAAGUUUCGGCGGGUGGGGAUGGACUCGCGGCUUAUCAGCUUGUUGGUGGGGUAGUGGCUUACCAAGGCUUUGACGGGUAGCCGGCCUGAGAGGGUGACCGGCCACAUUGGGACUGAGAUACGGCCCAGACUCCUACGGGAGGCAGCAGUGGGGAAUAUUGCACAAUGGGCGGAAGCCUGAUGCAGCAACGCCGCGUGCUGGAUGACGGCCUUCGGGUUGUAAACCGCUUUCGCCUGUGACGAAGCGUGAGUGACGGUAAUGGGUAAAGAAGCACCGGCUAACUACGUG